AUCUUCAGUCGUGAGCAAAUAAAUGCUACAAGAAUGGCAAUCAUCAUCUUAGAAAUCCUGACCAAUGCCUUAUAUGACCUGUUAAUCUCUGAUUGUGGUGGUUUCUCCGUUAAACAACGAGAAGAAUGUGAUAUAACAUAUUUAUAUGCACAACUACGAAGGAAAAACAAGCAUAUUCCAUGCCAUGGCUGGGGUCGUAGGUGGUCUGAUAUUCAGAAUUCUAACAUUCUGAUUGGUGACGAUAUAGAACGCAUUAGGUUAAACCGAAAUGAUAUGGCUCACUCGAAGAAGUUCUCGUUGGAUGACAACAAAUAUUAUGAUCUAUGUGGUAUAUUAGAGAGAGUUCUUCAUCGUUUAGAAAUAUAUAACGGGAAAGGAAAGCUCUACACAGACGAAAUGAAAAAUGUGAAAAAGAAAGAAACAAAAUCAAUUGACUGGCAAACUUACCAAAAGAAAAUAACUUCUGAAUUUCCACGACUGAAGAUGAAGCCUUCGUUUGAAGUGAAAGUCGGUGGCGGAUGCACACUUGAAUGUGAAAAAGUAGUACCGUUGCCCAAUGGUUCGACGGUGUAUUGGGUUAAGGAGAAAAACUCCAAAGUAGUAGAGCUGACAGUUGAUGAGACUACAUCAAACAAAUACAAAGGAUCGCAAUUCGAUUACCCAUCACUUAAUAUAUUUUGCGCAACAAAAGAAGAUGAAGGACACUAUUCCUGUAGAAUACGAUACCCUAAAGAGAGCGCAGAAAGCAUGGACGAAAAUAUUACAUGGCCUAAGACAUGUUUACAUGUGAAUAAUUAAAUAUUGUACAGAAAAGUGAAAUAUACGUGCCAAAUUCAAUGGAGGAAAUCUGAUGUCUAUUGUGCAACAUUUUGAAUAACGAAGUCCAUUUUUGCUCAUUUAAAAUGUACACUUUACAUUCCACCUUAAUGCAUAUUGCUUUUACAUUUCAUAUUACCUGUAUGUUUUUUUUAAAGAUUUUUGUUUCGGCGGCGCCGGCGCCGGCGAUGGCGUAAAUUAUUUGUAUAAAGCUUAUAUUUCAGAAGGUAGAAGACCUGGGUGCUUCAUACCUUGUAUGCAAUUACCUUAUGUUAAGAAAUUUCCGUCUGUCAUAUGUCCAUUGUCCUUGACCUCA
This is a long non-coding RNA of Mytilus californianus (California mussel), 1132 nucleotides long. RefSeq lists it as uncharacterized. The transcript has 3 exons. The record is from RefSeq and is a predicted model, not a curated record. Lineage: Eukaryota; Metazoa; Mollusca; Bivalvia; Mytilida; Mytilidae.